GUUCUUGUAGCUUAAGCCAAAGCAUGGCACUGAAGACGCCAAGAUGGCCAUCACCACCCCAAGAAC
RNAcentral lists this transfer RNA (66 nucleotides) under Diopsittaca nobilis. RNAcentral describes it as "tRNA-Phe". Lineage: Eukaryota; Metazoa; Chordata; Aves; Psittaciformes; Psittacidae. The record is from RNAcentral.